RNAcentral lists this transfer RNA (65 nucleotides) under Bemisia tabaci. Its description in RNAcentral is "tRNA-Val". Lineage: Eukaryota; Metazoa; Arthropoda; Insecta; Hemiptera; Aleyrodidae. The record is from RNAcentral.
AGACAAAUAACUAAGUAAAAGUAUAUCAAUUACACUGAUAGAAUGGUUAAAUUUAUCUUUGUCUU